Molecule: ribosomal RNA, 1346 nt
Filed under: uncultured bacterium
Lineage: Bacteria
Description: partial 16S ribosomal RNA
Rfam family: Bacterial small subunit ribosomal RNA
Source: RNAcentral
GGCGAACGCUGGCGGCGUGCUUAACACAUGCAAGUCGAACGGAAAGGCCCUGCUUUUGUGGGGUGCUCGAGUGGCGAACGGGUGAGUAACACGUGAGUAACCUGCCCUUGACUUUGGGAUAACUUCAGGAAACUGGGGCUAAUACCGGAUAGGAGCUCCUGCUGCAUGGUGGGGGUUGGAAAGUUUCGGCGGUUGGGGAUGGACUCGCGGCUUAUCAGCUUGUUGGUGGGGUAGUGGCUUACCAAGGCUUUGACGGGUAGCCGGCCUGAGAGGGUGACCGGCCACAUUGGGACUGAGAUACGGCCCAGACUCCUACGGGAGGCAGCAGUGGGGAAUAUUGCACAAUGGGCGGAAGCCUGAUGCAGCAACGCCGCGUGCGGGAUGACGGCCUUCGGGUUGUAAACCGCUUUCGCCUGUGACGAAGCGUGAGUGACGGUAAUGGGUAAAGAAGCACCGGCUAACUACGUGCCAGCAGCCGCGGUGAUACGUAGGGUGCGAGCGUUGUCCGGAUUUAUUGGGCGUAAAGGGCUCGUAGGUGGUUGAUCGCGUCGGAAGUGUAAUCUUGGGGCUUAACCCUGAGCGUGCUUUCGAUACGGGUUGACUUGAGGAAGGUAGGGGAGAAUGGAAUUCCUGGUGGAGCGGUGGAAUGCGCAGAUAUCAGGAGGAACACCAGUGGCGAAGGCGGUUCUCUGGGCCUUUCCUGACGCUGAGGAGCGAAAGCGUGGGGAGCGAACAGGCUUAGAUACCCUGGUAGUCCACGCCGUAAACGGUGGGUACUAGGUGUGGGGUCCAUUCCACGGGUUCCGUGCCGUAGCUAACGCUUUAAGUACCCCGCCUGGGGAGUACGGCCGCAAGGCUAAAACUCAAAGGAAUUGACGGGGCCCCGCACAAGCGGCGGAGCAUGCGGAUUAAUUCGAUGCAACGCGUAGAACCUUACCUGGGUUUGACAUGGAUCGGGAGUGCUCAGAGAUGGGUGUGCCUCUUUUGGGGUCGGUUCACAGGUGGUGCAUGGCUGUCGUCAGCUCGUGUCGUGAGAUGUUGGGUUAAGUCCCGCAACGAGCGCAACCCUUGUUCACUGUUGCCAGCACGUUAUGGUGGGGACUCAGUGGAGACCGCCGGGGUCAACUCGGAGGAAGGUGGGGAUGACGUCAAGUCAUCAUGCCCCUUAUGUCCAGGGCUUCACGCAUGCUACAAUGGCUGGUACAGAGAGUGGCGAGCCUGUGAGGGUGAGCGAAUCUCGGAAAGCCGGUCUCAGCUCGGAUUGGGGUCUGCAACUCGACCUCAUGAAGUCGGAGUCGCUAGUAAUCGCAGAUCAGCAACGCUGCGGUGAAUACGUUCCCGGGGCU